RNAcentral lists this small nuclear RNA (107 nucleotides) under Procavia capensis (Cape rock hyrax). The record is from RNAcentral. Lineage: Eukaryota; Metazoa; Chordata; Mammalia; Hyracoidea; Procaviidae.
GUGCUCGCUUCGGCAGCACAUAUACUAAAAUUAGAACGAUACAGAGGAGAUUAGCACGGUCCCCUUGCAAGGAUGACACACAAAUUCUUGAAGCGAUCCAUAUUUUU